Long non-coding RNA from Acanthopagrus latus (yellowfin seabream), 645 nucleotides. RefSeq lists it as uncharacterized. The transcript has 2 exons. The record is from RefSeq and is a predicted model, not a curated record. Lineage: Eukaryota; Metazoa; Chordata; Actinopteri; Spariformes; Sparidae.
GACUCAAUGUAUGCGGUCAUCCCAGGAAACCGUAUCAGAGAGCCACCAAGCACAGUUCUAUCCAGCCAUGUCAGUAGUUACACCUGAGCCUGUCCCUGCUGUGACACGUCAAAAUGUCUGCCGUGAAGCGUUGUCUUACAGCAGAUAACGGAGUGAAUGGACUCUUAAGAAGAAGUAACCCGCACACUCUCACAUAAAUACAAAAAAAAAAACAAGUGGCUGAGGCAGUGGUGUGCCUGAAAACUCAGGGAAAUGUAAGGCUGACUGAGAGGCUAGCCUGUGCUAGCUCUGUUAUGUUUGCUUCUCAAACAGACUCAAACGAAUUUCAAGUCUGGCUGUGAAGUGUCAACAACCCAGUAACGGCGGAGCAGGUACGCACACCUGUCGUCCAAACAUGUGUCCCGCAGCGUGUAAAUAAACAGUGAUGAGCGCAUCGGCAGCUUCCAGUGCCAGAGAUACAAAGCGAGACGAUUGACAGCUCCCAGACUGCACUGCAGAUCAGCUCUACGUCCAACCAUAGCGUCCAACGGCUCAGGUCUUCCGCAUGGACGUCUUCCGCCUCUCAGCUGAGUGAAGUCAACCGCACUUACUCCGAAAAAACCCGGAAAUGAUGUGCUGAGUCGAAAUAAAAGCUUUCUAAAUAUU